Chiroxiphia lanceolata (lance-tailed manakin) is the source of this 365-nucleotide long non-coding RNA. RefSeq lists it as uncharacterized. The record is from RefSeq and is a predicted model, not a curated record. The transcript has 3 exons. Lineage: Eukaryota; Metazoa; Chordata; Aves; Passeriformes; Pipridae.
GCGUGGGCCUGGCCCCGCAGGGGGAGGAAGCAGUGUUGCUGCAAGGGACUGACCCAGAGGGCGCGGGGUCGGUGCCGGCCGCGGCUCGUGGGGCUCACGGAAACAAUGCUCAUUUAAAUAAUGAACAAUUCAUCUAUGGAGCUUUUGAAGAAUGCAAAUGUAUUCAAAUGACAUAAAAAACAUCUGAAGUGGAAACUCUGAGGGUUAUUCAGAGCUCAUUCGCCCUCUCUGCCCCAUGCAGGUAUGUCUUUGCUUGCAAGUUUCAUUGUUUGGAAAUACAGUAUGAUAUUCUAUAAAUAAAAGUAAGUGGGAUGAGUUAACACACACUAGUGAAGAAUUCAAGACUUCUGCUUUUUAGCCAAAGU